RNAcentral lists this long non-coding RNA (7449 nucleotides) under Homo sapiens (human). Its description in RNAcentral is "non-protein coding lnc-ZIC4-3:6". The record is from RNAcentral. Lineage: Eukaryota; Metazoa; Chordata; Mammalia; Primates; Hominidae.
GGCAAACUGCUCCGGUCCCUUCCCACGCUGUGGGAGCUUUGUUCUUUCUCUGUUUGCAAUAAAUCUUGCUGCUGCUCACUCUUUGGGUCCCCAGUGCCCUUAUGAGCUGUAACACUCACCGCGAAGGUUUGCAGUUUCACUCCUGAAGCCAGCGAGACCACGAACCCUCCGGGAGGAACGAACAACUCCGGACACGCCGCCUUUAAGAACUGUAACACUCACCGCGAGCGUCCGCAGCUUCAUUCUUGAAGUCAGUGAGACCAAGAACCCACAAUUCCGGACACAGUAGGAGCCAGUGUUACAAAAAACAAAAGCAGAACCAAUUUCCUGCCUUCAAGGAACAUGAAGUCACUGAAUCCCAUCAUCUUUAUUGAGAGACAUUCCUUUGGAAAGAAUACUUCCAAUCAUUCUAUCAAAAAUCUUAUACUUGAAGAGAAGCCCUGCUGGAAUGAAAGCUCCAGAUGGCCUUGUUUCAGAGUACGGGAAUGGACGAAGAUAGAAUAUUACCAGAACCAAAGUACAAGUCCUGCUACAAAUAGGGUGCUUCUCUGAUCCUGACAUGAAAAAUAUAUGUUCAAAGCUACAGUCAUGGGAUUAUAACCUAUGUCUCAAAAAUCAUUCAGCCUCAUUGUUCAAGCCCAAGAAUUCACCCAAGGAUGAAGAGUGUUAGAUAUUAAUGUAGACUCAAAGCUUGUUACCUAUUACUACAUGACAAGGAUUUUAUGUUUUUUUUCUUACUUCAGUGCUCAUAGUGGCUUCCUACAUCAUGUUGACUAGGUAUCAAGCCAUUUCCUAGCUCCCUGUAGCAAGUUUAUUUCUCUCAUCUUUUGCAGUUUUCUACACAGGACCUGACCAGUUUUGCUUUGUGUCUUUUGCUAUGUCAUACACUGAAUGAGUAAUCCUAUUAUUCAAAGAGAUUAUUUUACUAAGUUAGUAUUUUAAGCAUAGCUUAUAGUAGAGUGAGCAUAAUUGAGCAACACCAAACUUUUAAAAUGUAUUUCUUACCCAUUUACAUGAAUAGUUUCAUUUAAUUUAUUGGCAAGUCUACAAGUGUCUUUGAGGGUUGACUUUCUGACUUCACAGCACACAGAUGCCAGGAGAUGUGACUUUUGCUUCUUUUUCUAAAGUUAUAACUGAACAAUUACUACAUGUCUUUUAAUUUCUUUCUAUUCCCUGGUGAGAGUGCAUUGGGAAGAAGAAACCAUCACUGCCAUAUUGUUAUACACAUUCAUUUUUACUACACUUUCUGCAUUUUUAGUGAAAGAGAUAAUCUUCAUUUUCUCUGAUGCUUCUUUCCCAACUUCAGCUGCAGAUCCCAUCUCCUCUUAACUCAUCAGGAAACUUAAUCAUUUCCUUCCUCUCUCCUGUUUAUUUAAUCCCUCUCUCCCGCUCUAUCUCUCCAUUGGCUCUACAUUCUCAGAUAUAGCUCCUGCUUAAAAAUAUCUUCCUUAGACAAAGUUACCGAUCUGCCUUCUGUUGUUGACCUGUCUCUCUCCUUGAAAGGGUUGACAACAUUUGCACUUUUCAUGUUGUAAUUGUCUAUACAUUUUUAAAUUUAUUGCCACCUGGUUUCCUCUUCAACCAGGCAAUUAAAAUAGCUCUUGCCAAAAUCACUGAUAAUAAAUAGUCACUCUUCUUUUCCAGUUUUUAUAUUGAUGUCUCUAAAGAAUUUUUUCUCAGUUGGUCACUGGUCACUCCUUACUAUUAUAAACUAAUUUAUCUGAGCUUAUGUGAUAUCAUAGUCUCAUAUUCUCUUGGCUUUCUUCUCAUCUUUCUGACUACUCCUACUGUACAUUUGGGAUUAGAUUUUUUUCCACUUUAAGUAAUAAUGUUUCUAACUGUAUGAUUUCAGGGACCAUACUGCAAUGACUCUUCAUAUAUAUAUAUGAAUAUGUAUAUGUAUAUAUAUGUAUAUAUAUAUAUAUAUAUGUAUAUAUAUAUUUAUGAGAAAGAGACAGACAGAGAGAAGAGAGAGGGAGGAGCGAUUAGUCUCCUAUUAGACAUUUCUCCUUGACUGUUCCAUAGGUAAUUUGGAUGUGUUCCAAACUGAGCUCAUGCUCAUCUAAUAUGCUUUUCCUCCUUUAUUCACUGUCUCAGUUAACCCAUACCCUUACGCUCACACAUUGUUAAAACCUGGGGUCUCUUUUAUCUCUGUGGUUAAUGUGCAAUAAAAUCUUAACAAUUCUGUUUUACUUACCUUUUGACUCUUUUCUCUUUUCUUAUUCCCAGUAUUAUUUUCUUCGUUUAUGUCUCACAAUUUUUCUUCUUUAAAUUACAGCAUUAGCCUCCUUACUGGUCUUCCUGUCUCCUGUUUUGAUCGCUUCAGUUUAUUUGCCACAUUGUAGCUUUAGUGAUGUUUCUAAAUUGUUAAUUGGAUCAUGUUACUCCCUUGUUUAAAACAUUUCACUAACCUCCUGAAAUCUUCAGAAUAAAAUUAUGAUUUCUUAGAGGUGCAGGCAUUUUCUGAUUUCAUCAGAAGCGUCCUUUGACUUGCCUUCAGCCUUACCAGCACACUUAUCUCCCAAAUAUGGACUAGGUUCUUAGGUUUUGCAAUUCUAUAAUAUCACUCUGCACCAUCAGAAUACUCACCACAUUAUAUUGUCAUUGUUAUUUUUUGUUGCCAUUUGAAUAGUCUAUUUAAUCUUUAUAUCCCUGUGUCAGUGCUUGGAACACUGAGAUGAAUGUUGAAACGAUGAGUGAAGAAUGACUGAAAAGUUUUCAAAUUUGUAUUUAAAAUUUAGAUUCUCCCCAGCACUUCGGUAGGCUGAGGAGGGUGAAUCACCUGAGGUCAGGAGUUUGAGACUAGCCUGGCCAACAUGGUGAAACCCUGUCUUUACUAAAAAUAAUAAUAAUAAUAGUAAUUAGCCAGGCAUGGUUGCAGACGCCUUAGGAGGCUGAGGCAGGAGAAUUGCUGAAACCCAGGAAUCAGAGGUUGCAGUGAGCCAAGAUCGUGCCACUGCACUCCAAACCGGGUGACAACUUUGAGACUUGGUCUUAAAAAAAUAAAAUAAAAUAAAAAGUUAGGUUCUCAAGCAAGGAAAUAGCAAGAAAGCCAUUAAAGAACAUUAGAUUAACAGAUAAAGUAAGGAAAUCUGGAAGUGUGUGGAGAUGGUGAGAUGACUGUUAGCCAUGAGGCUUUUGUAACAGAUGUGAAGUCAUUAAAAAAAAAAAUACCUGAAAUGGUUACUAGGGUGAUGUGCAAAAUAACAAUGAUACUUUUUAAACUUAAAUAGUUAAAUUCCUAGGAUGUAUUAUGUCAUAGAUCCCAGAAAGAUUAAAGAAUUACCUUGAAGUAUUCUUAAAGCAGUAUGUAUUCCAAAUGCAUUAUCUAUAUAAUUUACAAAUUCAUACUACACACACACACACACACACACUUUUAGAUUUAAAGGAAACCAAUAAUAAUUUGAGCUGCGUAAAUCUUACAUAAUUGUAAUUUGUUUAGAACAAACUUCAUUCUUUCAUAUUUAAAAUUUUUCCCUAUUUGGUCUCUUAGCUACAAAAGCCUAAAGGGCUUAAAGUUGCCUCUUUGUUUUAACUGUAAUGUGAGCCCUUAUAUGUGCUUGCCAAAUGUUGCCAUGAUUGUGAUUUUAAAAUAAAACACUUUGCUUAUGUGUUCAUAUAAAUAGAAAGUUUGGAAUAAUUAGAUUUUUAUGAGGUCAAAUUCAGAAAACUGAUAUUUAUUUUCUUUAAAAAUCCUAGAAGUGUAUUGUGUUAUUUUGCUGCAGGUGUUAGCACUUACUAAAUUUCAACAAUACACUGUUUUUGAGACCUAUAAAAUACUGUUAAUAUUCAAAAUUAUGUGUAAAACUGUGCUAAAUCAAAACAAGUAUCAUUUUUCAAAGUUUUCUUUUAAACCAGUAUCUGUAUCAACAGAAAACAAUAGCUGUUGCCUAUCACCAUCUGGUGCCCAUUGGUUAACUUAUAAGUAUUUUUUGGUCUUUAUUUUAGUCGUAGAUCCUCUUGUAUGUGGUUUAACAAAAUAUAUUUAACUGAAGCAGAAAAGCUUCUUAUGUAUUGAUUUAUACAUUUUGAUUUUCCAAUUGUUGAAGUGCUUUCUUUUUUUCUUAAUCCAUAUAAAACAUUUUAAGAUUAUUUUAAACAUCACAUAUUCUAUUUGCAGAGGAUCAUUUAGUUCAGUAAGUGAUAAAAAACAUAAACAGCCUCAUAUAAUACAAAAAGAGCUCCCAAAUAGGCAAUGAACACAACAUUCUUGUUAAAUGAUUUUGACUAACCAGUCUUUAUAGCAACAUUGAAUUUUGUGGUUUUCAUUUUAUUUCAUAAGUAAGCUCUAUAUUUCUUUCAAAAACAAAUACAAAUGUUGGACUUUAUUUUACUUAUUUCAUCAUGAUGACUUAUGUAUUAGACCAUUUUCACACUGCUAUAAAAAUGCCGGAGACUGGGUAAUUUAUUAAAAAAAAAAAAAAGGUUUAAUUGACUCACAGUUCCACAUGGCUGGGGAGGCCUCAAGAAACUUACAAUCAUGGUGGACGGGAAAGCAGACAUGUCUUACAUGGCAGCAGGUGACAGAAGCCUGGAGGAGGAGCUUCCAAAAAUUUAUAAAACCAUUAGAUCUCAUGAGAACUCUUUCACUAUCAUGAAAACAGCAUGGGGAAAACUGCCCCCAUGAUCCAAUCGCCUCCCUCCCUCAACUACAAUUUGAGAUGAGAUUAGGGUGGGUACACAGAGCCAAACCAUAUAAAGUUAUUUUAGUUAUUUUCUUCUUCUAAAAGAAGUAAAGCUUUUCUGUUUUUUUUUAAAAAUUAUUAUUAUUUUGUUUAGUAUAGUAUCAUUAUACUCUAAAAUUAGGUAGGAAUUAUACCACCAAAACUUUUUGUAAACACCCUUUUAUUGUAAAUAAACAAGAUACAGAAAGCUACACAAAUGUAUGGCUUCAUUAACUGUUUUAAAGCAACACAUCUUGUUAACUACCACACAGGUCAAGAAAGAGAACUUUGCCACUCACCUCAGAAUCUCGUCAGUUAUGUCUCAAACAUAAUCCCCACCUUCUCUCAAAAGCAACCACUAUGUUGACUUUUAUAGUCUUCACUUCCUUUUUUAUUAGUCAAGUGUGCAUUCUGGAUACUAUAGUUUAAUCUUGACUAAUUAAAAAUUAUGUCGUUUUAUGUCUCUUUCAAUCUACAAUUUCUCCCUUUGUCCUUUUUUCUUAUGAAAAUUUAUUUGUUGAAGAACCUGGGCAAAUGCUGACUGUAAUUAAACAAAUUCCUUUGGUCUCUAUAUUCACUGAAACUCAGUAGCUGUAUCCAGAGGCGUAAUCAGAUUUAGAGUAGAUUACUUUGUGUUUUCUUUCAUUAGGAGGCAUUGAAUGCUGUUUUUCUCUCUUUUUCUGAUGUUAGCUGCUAUUGAUGCUCAGUGCCUAGGUCUAUUAAUUCAUUGGUAGUUGCAAACAAUUAUAUUCUAGUUCUGUCCUUUAUUUUUCAAAUCUUAAGGGGAUAAAGUGCAUACUUCCCCUUAUCUCUUUUGUUAUUCAGUAGGACAGUUCAUUCAGGAAAGUCAGGAUAAAUGCUUGAUUAAUUCCCUUUAGUUAUCAGCUUUCAAAAUAAUAAGUUGACUCCUUUUUACUCUCAGAAGAUGAUUUAUUAGUAUUUAAGAGAAAAUCACUGUGAACUUAUAGAUUAAAACAUUUUGGCCAGGUGCAGUGGCUCAUGCCUGUAAUCCCAGCACUUUGGGAGGCUGAGGAGGGCGGAUCACGAGGUCAGGAGAUCGACCAUCCUGGCUAACACGGUGAAACCCUGUCUCUACUAAAAAUACAAAAACAAAAUUAGCUGGGUGUGGUGGUGGGCGCCUGUAGUCCCAGCUACUCGGGAGACUGAGGCAGGAGAGUGGCAUGAACCCGGGAGGUGGAGCUUGCAGUGAGCUGAGAUAGCGCCACUGCAUUCCAGCCUGGGCUACAGAGCAAGACUCUGUCUCAAAAAAAAACAACAACAACAACAACAAAACUUUUAUUUUAACUAAAAUUAUUAUUCUUUUUUGAAGCUCACAUAGUUGUAUCAUUGGCCAGUGGGGCCUUCUUCAAGUUGGCACCUUAAUUCUUUUGCAAUGAACCUAAUAAUCUCUUACUGUUUCUUCUUUAUCUAAUAUGACCAUGUUUCAGGUUAAUCUGUAUGUUUUCUUUCCCACAACAGAAACCAGCUAUUUCUCCAAGAAGCCCUGGUUUCUCUUAGUAAGAAAUGGUAUUUUAAGAUCAUUAUCUGGGCACUAGGAAAACUUGGUUAGUUAUUAUUUCUAGAUUCCUUUAGUUAAGAGAGCUAGAAUAUUAUAUACAUAUACACACAAGCAGACUCACACACACACAGAUAUUAUACUUCUGCAUUUGAAUGCAUAUUGUUAUUUCGUAUUCAAAUUCAGGACUAUAGAUUUCUUUUGCAUAAUCUCCUCUAUAUUAUAUUUUAAUCCUCACUUCCUGAUAUUGUUUGGCUGUGUCCCCACCCAAAUCUCAUCUUGAAUUGUAGCUCCCAUUAUUCCCAUGUGUUGUGGGAGGGAUGUGGUGGGAAGUAAUUGAAUCAUGGGAGUGGGACUUUCUUGUGAUAGUGAAUAAGUCUCAUCAGAUCUGAUGGUUUUAUAAAGGAGAGUUCCCCUACACAAGCUCCCUUGUCUGCCUGCAUGUAAGACGUGACUCUACUUCUCCUUUGCCUUCUGCCAUGAUUGUGAGGCUUCCCCAGCCCUGUGGAAUUGUGAGUUCAUUAAACCUUUUUUUUAAUGAAUUACCCAGACUCAGGUAUGUCUUUAUUAGCAGCAUGAGAACAUACUAAUGCGUAAAUUGGUACCUGUAGAGUGGGGUGCUGCUGUAAAGAUACCCAAAAAUGUAGAAGUGACUUUGGAACUUUGUAAUAACAGGCAUAGGUUGGAACAGUUUGGAGGGCUCAGAAGACAGGAAGAUGUGGGAAAGUUUGGAAAUUUCUGGAAACCUUUUGAAUGGCUUUGACCAAAAUGCUGAUAGUGAUAUGGACAGUAAAGUCCACGCUGAAGUGGUCUCAGAUGGAGGUGAGGAACUUGCUGGGAACUGCAGCAAAGGUGACCCUUGCUAUGUUUUAGCAAAGAUCUUGGCAUUUUGCCCUUGCUGUAGAGAUAUGUGAAACUUUGAACUUGAGGGAGAUGACUUAAGGCAUCUGGUAGAAGAAAAUUCUAAGCCUCAAAGCAUUCAAGAGGUGACUUGGGUGGUGUUAAAAACAUUCAGUUUUACGUAUUCACGAAGUUACAGUUUGGAAUUGGAACUCAUGUUUAAAAGGGAAGCAGAGUAUAAAAGUUUGGAAAAUUUGUAGCCUGACGAUGUGAUAGAGAAGAAAAACUCAUUUUCUGAGGAGAAAUUCAAGCUGGCUGCAGAAAUUUGCAUAAGUAACGAGAAGUCAAAUGUUAAGUCAAGACAAUGGGGAAAAUGUCUCCAGUGCAUGUCUGAAGUCUUCACAGCAGUCCCUCCCAUCACAAGCUGGA